UUUCCGUAGGUGAACCUGCGGAAGGAUCAUUAUUGAAUGAAACACUUCUGGCUUUCUGCUGUUGUGCUGGCCCUUUGGGCAAUGUGCAAACGGCUCUGGUCACUUGUUUCUUCUGUUCCACCUGUGCACUGCCUGUAGACACGCUGUGUCUAUGAUAUUUGUUAACACACAACAAUGUUAGUUGGCAUGUUAUAUAUAAUAAUAAAAUAUACAACUUUCAACAACGGAUCUCUUGGCUCUC
This 241-nucleotide unclassified non-coding RNA is filed under the name plant metagenome. Its description in RNAcentral is "partial contains small subunit ribosomal RNA, internal transcribed spacer 1, and 5.8S ribosomal RNA". The record is from RNAcentral.